This 389-nucleotide ribosomal RNA is filed under the name Thambetochen chauliodous. Its description in RNAcentral is "partial 12S ribosomal RNA". It matches the Rfam family "Bacterial small subunit ribosomal RNA", at positions 794 to 1380 of the family's 1533-position model. Lineage: Eukaryota; Metazoa; Chordata; Aves; Anseriformes; Anatidae. The record is from RNAcentral.
GCCUGGCCCUAAAUCUUGAUACUUACCCUACCGAAGUAUCCGCCAGAGAACUACGAGCACAAACGCUUAAAACUCUAAGGACUUGGCGGUGCCCUAAACCCACCUAGAGGAGCCUGUUCUAUAAUCGAUGAUCCACGAUCAACCCAACCGCCCCUUGCCCAACACAGCCUACAUACCGCCGUCGCCAGCCCACCUCGAGUGAGAGCACAACAGUGGGCACAACAGCACCCCGCUAAUAAGACAGGUCAAGGUAUAGCCCAUGGGGCGGAAGAAAUGGGCUACAUUCCCUAUGCAUAGGGCAACACGGAAAGAAGCGUGAAACUGCUUCUAGAAGGAGGAUUUAGCAGUAAAGCGGGAUAAUAAAGCCCACUUUAAGCCGGCCCUAGGGC